RNAcentral lists this ribosomal RNA (433 nucleotides) under uncultured bacterium. RNAcentral describes it as "partial 16S ribosomal RNA". It matches the Rfam family "Bacterial small subunit ribosomal RNA", at positions 30 to 507 of the family's 1533-position model. The record is from RNAcentral.
AACGAACGCUGGCGGCAUGCCUAACACAUGCAAGUCGAACGAAUGCUUCGGCCUUAGUGGCGCACGUGUGCGUAACGCGUGGGAAUCUGCCCUUUGGUUCGGAAUAACAGCUGGAAACGGCUGCUAAUACCGGAUGAUGUCGAAAGUCCAAAGAUUUAUCGCCAGAGGAUGAGCCCGCGUUGGAUUAGGUAGUUGGUGGGGUAAAGGCCUACCAAGCCGAGGAUCCAUAGCUGGUCUGAGAGGAUGAUCAGCCACACUGGGACUGAGACACGGCCCAGACAACUACGGGAGGCAGCAGAGGGGAAUAGAGGAAAAGGGGCGCAAGCAUGAACAAGCAAUGCCGCGAGAGUGAUGAAGGCAGUAGGGUUGAAAAGCACUGUAACCCGGGAAGAUAAUGACGGUAACGGGAGAAUAAGCACCGGCUAACUCCGUG